UAUUCUCUCUCUCUCUACAGUCGGUGCAAUGGAUCAAAAACCUCCAUCAUCAUCUUCAAACAAUGGAGCUUCAUAUCCUUCCCUGGAGCUACUGAACAGUUACACUGCCGAAGACGACAAAAUCAUCAAAGUUUGUCAAUUUUAAUUUCCUAAUAUAUAUAUAUAUAUAUAUAUAUAUAUAUAUAUAUAUAUAUAUAUAUAUGCGCACAUAAACGUUUCAUAACUAUUGUUAAUGAUGUUAUUUUUGUAGGAGAGGAUCGACGAAAUGUUUAGAACCUAUGGAGUCCAUCAAACUGUGAACAAACUGCUGGUAUAAAUUUAUAUACUCACUGCUGAUCAAUAAAUAAAUAAAUAAAUUUAUAUCCUACUAAUAUCUAAUAUAUAAAGUUGGGGUUGGGGUUGGGGUUGGGGUUGGUGUUAACAAAUUUUUGAAGUCAAAUAUCCUUCAACUUUUAAAGUAAUUCCUAUUUUGUCAUUUUUAUAUUAUUUCUUUUUUAUUUGUUUACUUGGUUAUUCAAAUUUUAUAAAAUUCAUAUCUUAUCCCACAUAAUUUACACACAUAUCCACGGGUGCUAGUAUAUGUUAAACUUUCUUUGAUAAAAAUCUAUAAGAAACUAUAUAAUCUUCAUUUUGUCGCACUUCUACAUUUAACAAAGAUUAGGAUCUUUAGGAUCUUCAGUUUGUCCCACUUAUAUAACCAACGUUGUGAUCUUCAUUUUGUCGCACCAUGUCAAACAUUAUGAUCUUCAUUUGGUUUCACUAUACAUCUUCAUUUUGUUGCAUUAUCCUAAACAUUAAAAUCUUCUUUUUGUCGCAUUAUGCUAAACAUUAAAAUAUAUAAUGAACAUUAAAAUAUUCGUUUUGUCGUACUAUACGAACGUUAAAAUUUUCAUUUUGUUGCACUACGCUAAACAUUAAAAUCAUCGUUUUGUCGCACUAUGCGAACAUUAAAAUUAUCAUUUUGUCGCAUUAUGUUGACUUAAUUAAAAUCUUAUUUUUGACACACUGUCGAACUUUUUAAUUAUUACUAAAAUUAGGUAUUUUGUACUUUAUUUAUUAACUUGCAUUUAUGUAAACUAGUGCGUUUAAUUAAUAAUUUGUUGUGUUAUGUCUAAAUUUUAAUUCUACAUUACUAAAACAUCCUUAACAUUGUGAAUUUGUAGUGUCAUACGUAAAGGUCAAGUAGAAUUUAGAAUAUAGUCAAUAAUAUUUCUCAUACAUUUGUUAAUAGUGUUGAGUGUUUCUCAUAUUGUUUUUUCUAUAAUAUCAAGUUAAUGGUUGUUCUUCAUUACUCUAUCCUUCUUGGAUGAUUAAAGAUGUGAAGGAUAACUAAGUCAUUUAAUUAGGUUCAUUAGUAUAAAAAAAAUUUACUCAUCAUUUUAUAUAAUUUUGUGGAGUCACUAAUUAGAUAAAUUUAUUUAUUUUUUAAUUUACUCUUUUUAUAUAUUUUUAUUUUUUUAAAUAUAUAUACAAAUUGCUCAUUUUUUUGAGACAGAGGGAGUAAAAUAUUGUGUCCGUAGCUAAGGGUGUAAACGAACUGAGUAUUGAGUUGCUCAAGAUUUGAUUCACAAAAUUUAUCGAGUACAAAAUAAGGUUUGAUUGAGUCUCAUUUAGCUACCGAGUCGAGCCCGAACAGUUUGAACUUUUCGAGCGAAUAUGAUCCGAGUAUUAAUAGAAAAUUACAAUUUGAAGAGGUUCGAGUAAUUUAUCGAACUUUAAAAUUUGCUCAUAUUUGACUCAUUUAUAUUUCGAGUCGUACUCGAAUCGAACUUUUAGUCGAGCGGGUAUGAAUCGAGCACGAACUGUUUGCUCAUUUUACAGCUUUAUCCGGAGCUAUAAUUUGUAGCUAAGGCUGAAUAUUAUAAUAACUCACGGUAAGAAGUAGUAGAAUAUAUAGUGAAAAAAGAAAAACAUAAAACGCAAAAUAAAUCCGUUCUUUAUUUUUUAUGUUUUAUAAUAUGCCUUGGUUUUCAUUUCCUUGUGCUAUGUAUGUUUGUAAGAAUUCUAAUAUUGGGAGUAUAUUUUCGUAGAUUAUAAUUACAAGAUUAAUAUAUAAUUCUAUAAUUAAAUAGUCCUAGUCACAUGUUUAUUUUUUAUGAGAUUAUUCAUGUGAUAAUUUAAAAUAAUCUCAUGUUAUGUUUGUUUUGUCCAAAAUUAUUUAAAAGAUUAAUGGAUAAAAAGUUACCGUUUGGACUAUCAUACAAUUACUACUAAUAACAAAGAUAUUAUAUUAUCAUUAGUUUAAGUAUAGAUAGAUAGUAUAAGAUACAUUGGUCUUUUUAAACAAAGUUAAAAGUUAAUUUUGUCUACAAAUAUUUAGCCUUAAAUGGUAGGGAUUAUAAUACCUAGUUGGACGUGAUAUUGAAUAAUCCCUCCUUUCAAGUCAUUUUAUUCUCCUAGACUAAUAGUGUCAAGUCUAUUUUUAAAAAUAAAUAAGAGACUUGAGAUUAAUUAAUAGUCCAAUCUCAAAUAUAAUUCUUACAAACAAACGUAACUUUAGAUUCUACACUAAAAAAAAUUCUUUAAAAUGUGUUUGCUUUAAAAUUCAAGCUUUGAUUUGUAUUUUUUUCCUAAUUAUUUUUUUUAUUAAUAAUUUGGUAUGACAUAAUAGAAAAAUUAGUACACAUAAUUUAAUUGAUAAAUUUCUUCAUUACAUUAUGAAAUGCAUUAUGCAUAUAAUUAAUUGGAAAACUGAAUACUAAUAUUUAUCUUAAUUGGUUUAAAGGGUUUUCCCAUGGGCACUGUCUAUUCCAUGCCCAUGCCAAGGCAGAUUUGUGGCAAAAGACGACGCGGCACUUAACAGAGUUUUCUUUUUGGAGAAUAAAAGUACUUCCACACUUUUAGUUUUCAUUUUGUUAUCCAAAUACUCAUCUACGUUACCGGGUUGUAUUUGUUCUUUUUCUACCUUUUUGUCAUGAUUUUCUUGUUCAUGUAUGAACUAUUUAAAUGUGGAGUACUGAUAAGGCUUAUAUAGGCCAAUAUGUAGAAUCAAUAAAAUCGAAUUAGUUUCUUUCACUGUUAUCUUUAA
RNAcentral lists this long non-coding RNA (3028 nucleotides) under Panax ginseng (ginseng). RNAcentral describes it as "long non-coding RNA (PGIN_LNC008243)". Lineage: Eukaryota; Viridiplantae; Streptophyta; Magnoliopsida; Apiales; Araliaceae. The record is from RNAcentral.